Non-coding RNA from Vicugna pacos (alpaca), 687 nucleotides. Lineage: Eukaryota; Metazoa; Chordata; Mammalia; Artiodactyla; Camelidae. The record is from RefSeq and is a predicted model, not a curated record.
UGGUGGGGAAGAUUCAUGUGUCUGUCUGUCUCAUUGUAUCUCUGGGUCUUUCUGUUACUGCCUUUUGAUCAUUUUCUGUUUUUUUCUCCCUCUUCUUUUGUCUCUUCCUUGGUAGAUGCUAACUGACAUUCCUUGGUAUCUGUCACAGCCACACCCAAAGGACAAACCAAAUAACCAAUUUAAGGUUGGAAAACUAUCAACAACAUUUCCUGACUCACUUGAAGCUGUGGGGUCCAGAUGUGAGUCAGGUUUUGCCAAUUAGAUGCACUGGGACAGGACGAGGAGGCAGAAGCAGAGAAGGCUGUCUUCCUGACAAGCACACUCUGGCUGAAGGCAGAGAAGAAGCAAAGGAAGACUAAAAUAUUAUAACUUGUAAAUACAAGGGAUCUAUUUUGUUGCCUUGAACACUGAAAAGGAACCUAGAUGCACUCCUGUCCCCGUGACUGAGCUGCCACAUCCAGCUUCCCAGCACUGUCUCUGAGUCUGGCCUCUUGUGGAUCGUCUGCAUUUCUCAUCAAGACAGUCAAUAUUUUGGGAUCAAGAAUUUAGGGGCAAAGGCCUCUAAAUGAUUUCUCAUCCAUGCAGAGGGAAAAAUGUAUUUGUUCUCCAGAAAGAGGCACAAAGCAAAACAUUUGAUUAUACCACUUUGCCUGGCACUUGAUUUAUCUUACCAGUAAAUCUGCUUUU